GAUGAACGCUAGCUACAGGCUUAACACAUGCAAGUCGAGGGGCAGCAUGAACAAAGCUUGCUUUGUUGAUGGCGACCGGCGCACGGGUGAGUAACGCGUAUCCAACCUGCCCAUUACUCUGGGAUAGCCUUGCGAAAGUAAGAUUAAUACCGGAUGUUGUUUAGAGUUCGCAUGAAUUUUAAACCAAAGAUUUAUUGGUAAUGGAUGGGGAUGCGUGACAUUAGGUAGUUGGUGAGGUAACGGCUCACCAAGCCUACGAUGUCUAGGGGUUCUGAGAGGAAGGUCCCCCACACUGGAACUGAGACACGGCCCAAACUCCUACGGGAGGCAGCAGUGGGGAAUAUUGCACAAUGGGGGAAACCCUGAUGCAGCAACGCCGCGUGAGUGAUGAAGUAUUUCGGUAUGUAAAGCUCUAUCAGCAGGGAAGAAAUUGACAGUACCUGACUAAGAAGCCCCGGCUAACUACGUG
Molecule: ribosomal RNA, 469 nt
Filed under: uncultured bacterium
Lineage: Bacteria
Description: bacterial SSU rRNA
Rfam family: Bacterial small subunit ribosomal RNA
Source: RNAcentral